GCCAGGUGUGGUGGCACACGCCUGUAAUCCCAGUGGCUUGGGAGGCUGAGGCAGGAGGAUUACAAAUUCAGGGCCAGCCUCAUAACUAAGUGAGGCUCUCAGCAGCUUAGUGAGAUCCUGUCUCAA
This 126-nucleotide small RNA is filed under the name Marmota monax (woodchuck). Lineage: Eukaryota; Metazoa; Chordata; Mammalia; Rodentia; Sciuridae. The record is from RNAcentral.